UUGAGUUUGUGCAAGUCAAGAGGAAAAGAAGAAGAAAGGUUUUCUUCUUCGUAGCAAAGCCCUAGCGAUCGCGGCUCCACCUCCUCUGUUUCCCCGCUCGUUGUUUGCCAGUUUUCAUCUCCGUUCACGCUUAAACAAAAUUGCACAUCCAGUCGUUCCCUUUGCUCCAAUCUUUGAGGCUUUGAGGAUCAUGGAAAAUAUGUAUCUAGAUAUCACAACAAGACCAACGCCACAAAAGUCACUUAAAACAGAGCUAAAAUGACUAAGAACGCUGAAACAAGUUAAAAAGGCAUUUUUGUAAUUUCACCAAAGUCACGCGCUGCGGCGCGGAGGAACCCUGCUUGAAGGCAGUAGUAUUUAAAAGAUGAAGCACUGCGGCAUUCACCUUGAGCAUUGUAGCAAAAUAAAGUUCAUCAAAUUUUAUUAAAGUUCGUAUUCAGUGUUUAAUUUUUUUAGUACAUUGUAUAUUCUUCCCAUUCAAUUAGAUUUAGAGCAUUUUAAUUCUUUUUUAGGUUAGAGUAUGGAAGUAUUUUCAAAAGUAGCAGAAUAAAAUCCAUCGAUUUUUUUUAGUU
Long non-coding RNA from Cucumis melo (muskmelon), 572 nucleotides. RefSeq lists it as uncharacterized. The record is from RefSeq and is a predicted model, not a curated record. Lineage: Eukaryota; Viridiplantae; Streptophyta; Magnoliopsida; Cucurbitales; Cucurbitaceae. The transcript is spliced from 2 exons.